RNAcentral lists this ribosomal RNA (432 nucleotides) under uncultured bacterium. RNAcentral describes it as "partial 16S ribosomal RNA". It matches the Rfam family "Bacterial small subunit ribosomal RNA", at positions 29 to 506 of the family's 1533-position model. The record is from RNAcentral.
AACGAACGCUGGCGGCAUGCCUAACACAUGCAAGUCGAACGAGACCUUCGGGUCUAGUGGCGCACGGGUGCGUAACGCGUGGGAACCUGCCCUUAGGUUCGGAAUAACUCCCCGAAAGGGGUGCUAAUACCGGAUAAUGUCUUCGGACCAAAGAUUUAUCGCCUUUGGAUGGGCCCGCGUUGGAUUAGCUAGUUGGUAGGGUAAAAGCCUACCAAGGCGACGAUCCAUAGCUGGUCUGAGAGGAUGAUCAGCCACACUGGGACUGAGACACGGCCCCGACUCCUACGGGAGGCAGCAGUGGGGAAUAUUGGACAAUGGGCGAAAGCCUGAUCCAGCAAGGCCGCGUGAGUGAUGAAGGCCUUAGGGUUGUAAAGCUCUUUUACCCGGGAUGACAAUGACAGGACCGGGAGAAUAAGCUCCGGCGAACUCCGU